AAGCUGGUCGCAAGCGAAGGGUUCGUGAUGAAGCAAAACCACUGUCGGUGGUAGAUGAAGCCUUGCCGAUUGAAAAGUUUCAUUGCCCUGAUUCGUUCAAUACCACAUUCAAAGAAAUACCUGAGGACUUCAAGCGAGUCUCCGUCACCCUGGAUGUGGAAACAGCGCAUGCGCGGCUCGAGGUGUCUGAGGAUCGGAAGAGAGUGAGAGUGACCGAGACCUGGAGGAGUCUCCCUGACACCGGGAAGAGGU
Molecule: long non-coding RNA, 252 nt
Organism: Amblyraja radiata (thorny skate)
Lineage: Eukaryota; Metazoa; Chordata; Chondrichthyes; Rajiformes; Rajidae
Exons: 3
Source: RefSeq, a predicted model, not a curated record